RNAcentral lists this ribosomal RNA (818 nucleotides) under uncultured bacterium. RNAcentral describes it as "bacterial SSU rRNA". It matches the Rfam family "Bacterial small subunit ribosomal RNA", at positions 8 to 808 of the family's 1533-position model. The record is from RNAcentral.
AGAGUUUGAUCCUGGCUCAGGAUGAACUUUGGCGGCGUGCCUAAUACAUGCAAGUCGAGCGAACAGACGAGGAGCUUGCUCCUCUGACGUUAGCGGCGGACGGGUGAGUAACACGUGGAUAACCUACCUAUAAGACUGGGAUAACUUCGGGAAACCGGAGCUAAUACCGGAUAAUAUAUUGAACCGCAUGGUUCAAUAGUGAAAGACGGUUUUGCUGUCACUUAUAGAUGGAUCCGCGCCGCAUUAGCUAGUUGGUAAGGUAACGGCUUACCAAGGCAACGAUGCGUAGCCGACCUGAGAGGGUGAUCGGCCACACUGGAACUGAGACACGGUCCAGACUCCUACGGGAGGCAGCAGUAGGGAAUCUUCCGCAAUGGGCGAAAGCCUGACGGAGCAACGCCGCGUGAGUGAUGAAGGUCUUCGGAUCGUAAAACUCUGUUAUUAGGGAAGAACAAAUGUGUAAGUAACUAUGCACGUCUUGACGGUACCUAAUCAGAAAGCCACGGCUAACUACGUGCCAGCAGCCGCGGUAAUACGUAGGUGGCAAGCGUUAUCCGGAAUUAUUGGGCGUAAAGCGCGUGUAGGCGGUUUUUUAAGUCUGAUGUGAAAGCCCACGGCUCAACCGUGGAGGGUCAUUGGAAACUGGAAAACUUGAGUGCAGAAGAGGAAAGUGGAAUUCCAUGUGUAGCGGUGAAAUGCGCAGAGAUAUGGAGGAACACCAGUGGCGAAGGCGACUUUCUGGUCUGUAACUGACGCUGAUGUGCGAAAGCGUGGGGAUCAAACAGGAUUAGAUACCCUGGUAGUCCACGCCGUAAACG